AUGCACCAUGCUGACCUGCAAAAUGAGCCCUUCAUCGUGGUGUUGCCCAAUGUUUGUGUACAGCACUUCUGUGCCUGGGAUGGAUCUGUGAACACCAAAGGACAGGACACAAACACUGACAACAGUGCCAGGGUGAGCCCACAUUUUGGGAGGAGGAGACCAGAACAGCACACAGUGCUCAUGAAAGACACAGAGAAAGCAGCUCAGAAAGGAGCAGCUACAGAAAGAAGCAUCAUCCUGGGGAAUCUGCUUUUGGAGGAGACACUGGUAGGACCGUGAGACCUUAAUUUUGAGAGGGCUGUGGUAAGAUCAAAGUUUAAAAAAAUCACAAAGCAGUAAAUGAAACACAGGCAGAAACAUAAUUUGUCAAAUCCUGCGAUACCAGGAGUAGGGGGCAUUUGGUAAAUCUGGGGAGAGUGCUCCAGAGCUUAGAAAAAGAAGUGCUGCUUUUAUCUAACAGGUAUUUAAUGUCUGGAACUUGCUGCUGUGACAAACCUUGGUCACUGGCUUCAGCACCAGGGGGAUGUUGAAAACGUGAGGCUGUGUUCACUAAUAACUGUCAUCAGAAUAUUUAGUGUUUUCUUGCAUGAUCCAUGUACGGAAUUUGAAGGCAAGUGUAAUUAAUCCAAGAUGUACAUAUGUUUAUAUAGUGUCUGAGCUCUGGCUGGUGCUGACAGGUUUAUGAGAAGUGAAAUAUUACUCCUUAUAAAAGGAUUUAUUUUACUUUUUAAGGAGCCAGUCGGGAAGUUUAAUCUGAUUAUUUUUCCCCAGUGCAAGACUACACAGACUAUUUUGCUUUUCCUGCUGGCAACUUUGCUGCUCCAGCCUGAGCAGGACAAGCACUGAAGCUCCACAACAGUUUCACUAAUGACACAACAACGAUCUGGGUAGAACAGGCAAAGGGAAGACACUUCACCAUUUGGGAGAAAAGACACAUAGUAUAUAUGGGAAUAGCUUUCAGCCACUAAGAAAUUAUUAGGAGAACUAUAUAUUGAAUAUAUAUAUUGGCAAGAACAUGGGGACCAGCUUCAUCAGCUACACAAGUCUUAUCUAACUCCAUACUGGGUGCUGAACAUGCCAUGGAGCCAGAGGAAAGAAAUUGCAUUGGUUAUGCUGCCUGAAUUAAAAAUGUCAUUAUAAAGGGGAUGAAAUUAAGACUGCAAGUGCAUUUUCUAAUUUAUUUUCUACCAUUCUUUUAAUGUGAAUGCUUAUUAUAGUAAUAAUUUUAAAAGUUAUGCAAAUUCAGGGAGAAAGAAAGUGUAUGAUGAGCUCUAUGUAUGCACAGCAGGCACUGUAACAAUUAACUUGAUCGCUGACAAGCUUCUCACAUAUUUGUGCCUCCAAUUCUGAUGUUCACUGAAAAAAAAAAAAAAGGUAUAUAAAGAAACAAGAUAAACUGUGGCAUAAAUCACCUUGAAAAUGCACUUUGUGUGACCUUGGAUGCUUUUGAUUUUGUCUGUUGACCUUCAGGAAGAGGAUAAACAGAGCUCUGCUCUUUACUUUCCCCUGAAGCUGAUUAGUUGUGUGUGGAUAUAUAAAUAUCAGGAGGCCAAUACAAUGUAGCCCUUCAGAGACUUAAUAUUUAUUGGUAACACUUUUUUUUCAAAUAAAUAAUCAGAUUUAUAUUCA
Long non-coding RNA from Cyanistes caeruleus (blue tit), 1629 nucleotides. The record is from Ensembl. NCBI's taxonomy places the organism in Eukaryota, Metazoa, Chordata, Aves, Passeriformes, Paridae.